This 201-nucleotide long non-coding RNA is filed under the name Vigna radiata. Its description in RNAcentral is "long non-coding RNA (VRAD_LNC011537)". Lineage: Eukaryota; Viridiplantae; Streptophyta; Magnoliopsida; Fabales; Fabaceae. The record is from RNAcentral.
UUUCACUUAAUUUAUUGUGCUAGAAUUAAUCAGGGAAUUGUGCUUAAUUCUCCGAUAUAUUUCUGUUUUUACUGAUUGUGCUUAAUUUGACCAGAAAUUUCAAUUUUAAUUAAUUUGAAUUUUCUGAGCUAAUUAUUUGCAUUAUUAUUUGCAAGGAAAAUUUGGAAAUACAAUUUGGGAUAUUUGGAGGUUAAAUGAUAA